Molecule: ribosomal RNA, 468 nt
Filed under: uncultured bacterium
Lineage: Bacteria
Description: partial 16S ribosomal RNA
Rfam family: Bacterial small subunit ribosomal RNA
Source: RNAcentral
GACGAACGCUGGCGGCGUGCUUAACACGUGCAAGUCGAACGGAAAGGCCCUGCUUUUGUGGGGUGCUCGAGUGGCGAACGGGUGAGUAACACGUGAGUAACCUGCCCUUGACUUUGGGAUAACUUCAGGAAACUGGGGCUAAUACCGGAUAGGAGCUCCUGCUGCAUGGUGGGGGUUGGAAAGUUUCGGCGGUUGGGGAUGGACUCGCGGCUUAUCAGCUUGUUGGUGGGGUAGUGGCUUACCAAGGCUUUGACGGGUAGCCGGCCUGAGAGGGUGACCGGCCAAAUUGGGACUGAGGUACGGCCCAGACUCCUACGGGAGGCAGCAGGGGGGAAUAUUGCACAAUGGGCGGAAGCCUAAUGCAGCAACGCCGCGUGCGGGAUGACGGCCUUCGGGUUGUAAACCGCUUUCGCCUGUGACGAAGCGUGAGUGACGGUAAUGGGUAAAGAAGCACCGGCUAACUACGUG